Molecule: ribosomal RNA, 1277 nt
Filed under: Arthonia didyma
Lineage: Eukaryota; Fungi; Ascomycota; Arthoniomycetes; Arthoniales; Arthoniaceae
Description: LSU rRNA
Rfam family: Eukaryotic large subunit ribosomal RNA
Source: RNAcentral
CGGGGGCAGUCUCCUGGAACGGAGCGCCGGAKAAGGUGAGAGCCCUGUACCACCUGGGGAUCCGCCGUCGGACGAAGCGCCUUCGACGAGUCGAGUUGUUUGGGAAUGCAGCUCUAAGCGGGAGGUAAAUUUCUUCUAAGGCUAAAUACCGGCCAGAGACCGAUAGCGCACAAGUAGAGUGAUCGAAAGAUGAAAAGCACUUUGGAAAGAGAGUCAAACAGCACGUGAAAUUGUUGAAAGGGAAGCUCUUGCUGCCAGACAUGCCGCGGUCGCUCAGCCGCCCCCCGGGGCGGUGUACUCGGCCGCGGCGGGCCAGCGUCAGUUCGGGCGGUCGGAGAAAGGCCCGGGGAACGUAGCUCCCUCCGGGGAGUGUUAUAGCCCCGGGCGGCAUGCGGCCAGCCCGGUCUGAGGCCCGCGUUCGCGAGGACGCUGGCGUAAUGGUCGCAAGCGACCCGUCUUGAAACACGGACCAAGGAGUCUAACAUCUGUGCGAGUGUUCGGGUGUCAAACCCGUGCGCGUAAUGAAAGUGAACGGAGGUGGGACCCCCGUCCGGGGCGCACCAUCGACCGAUCCUGAUGUCUUCGGAUGGAUUUGAGUAGGAGCAUAGCUGUUGGGACCCGAAAGGGGGCUUAGAAACAACCCGCAGCCAGAUUCCCCGGCGAGGACCCCUGGGUCCCGCCGGCGGCAUCCAGUCCACAGGCUAUACGGUGACGGGCGGAGGUCUUGUACCCCCGGCUCAAGAUAUAGUCGAAUCCCCCUGCAGAGGGGGGUAAACCCCCGGGCCUGUGGCCCGCGGAGGCGGCGGUAGAACCAAAGAAUCUUGCUAGUAGCUGGUUCCCGCCGAAGUUUCCCUCAGGAUAGCAGUAACGUCCGCAGUUUUAUGAGGUAAAGCGAAUGAUUAGAGGCCUUGGGGUUGAAACAACCUUAACCUAUUCUCAAACUUUAAAUAUGUAAGAAGCCCUUGUUGCUUAAUUGAACGUGGGCCGUCGAAUGCACCGUUACUAGUGGGCCAUUUUUGGUAAGCAGAACUGGCGAUGCGGGAUGAACCGAACGCGAGGUUAAGGUGCCGGACUGCACGCUCAUCAGACACCACAAAAGGUGUUAGUUCAUCCAGACAGCCGGACGGUGGCCAUGGAAGUCGGAAUCCGCUAAGGAGUGUGUAACAACUCACCGGCCGAAUGAACUAGCCCUGAAAAUGGAUGGCGCUUAAGCGUGCGACCCAUACCUCGCCGCCGGGGCAGGACCGACGCCCCGGCGAGUAGGCGGGCGCGGGGGC